This 58-nucleotide ribosomal RNA is filed under the name Colletotrichum boninense. RNAcentral describes it as "partial 28S ribosomal RNA". The record is from RNAcentral. Lineage: Eukaryota; Fungi; Ascomycota; Sordariomycetes; Glomerellales; Glomerellaceae.
GACCUCGGAUCAGGUAGGAAUACCCGCUGAACUUAAGCAUAUCAACCGGGAGAGAAAU